GGCCCCUCACUGCAAGAAAGACAUCGAGGCCCUGGAGCGUGUCCAGAGGAGGGCAACAAAGCUGGUGAGGGGUCUGGAGCACAGGCCUUAUGAAGAGCGGCUGAAGGAGCUGGGAUUGUUCAGUCUGGAGAAGAGGAGGCUCAGGGGAGACCUUAUUGCUCUCUAUAACUACCUGAAGGGAGGUUGUAGUGAGCUGGGGGUCAGCCUCUUCUCUCGGGUGACUAGUGAUAGGACUAGAGGGAAUGGCUUCAAGCUGCGCCAGGGAAGAUUCAGGCUGGACAUUAG
Molecule: long non-coding RNA, 285 nt
Filed under: Gallus gallus (chicken)
Lineage: Eukaryota; Metazoa; Chordata; Aves; Galliformes; Phasianidae
Source: RNAcentral